Fukomys damarensis (Damara mole-rat) is the source of this 307-nucleotide unclassified non-coding RNA. Its record names the gene 7SK. It matches the Rfam family "7SK RNA". Rfam says of the family: 7SK was discovered as an abundant small nuclear RNA in the mid-70s but a possible function has only recently been suggested. Two independent studies have found that 7SK RNA binds the CDK9/cyclin T complex (known as elongation factor P-TEFb). P-TEFb activates transcription by phosphorylating the C-terminal domain of RNA polymerase II. Lineage: Eukaryota; Metazoa; Chordata; Mammalia; Rodentia; Bathyergidae. The record is from Ensembl.
GGAUGGGAAGGCAAUUUGGCUGCGAUAUCUGUCACCUCAUUGUUCAACAGGGUUGAUUCAGCUGAUCUGGCUGGCUAGGCAGAUAUCCCCUUCCUCCCUUACUGCUCCAUGUGCAUACCUCCUGAAGCUAUGUGCUCAAAGGAGGACCAUUUCCUCCAUGAAGGGUAUACGAUACGAGUACCUGUGCUCCCCUGCUAGAACCUUCAAACAAACUUUUAAAGAAUCACAGGAAAAAGCUAGCAAAAAUGACAGCAAAACCAGACAAAUUAGCUAUUACAAUACAAUUAUUAAUAGAAUAAUCUUCUAU